GUGAGUGGCGAACUGGUGAGUAACACGUGGGAAACCUGCCCAGAAGCGGGGGAUAACACCUGGAAACAGAUGCUAAUACCGCAUAACAACUUGGACCGCAUGGUCCGAGUUUGAAAGAUGGCUUCGGCUAUCACUUUUGGAUGGUCCCGCGGCGUAUUAGCUAGAUGGUGAGGUAACGGCUCACCAUGGCAAUGAUACGUAGCCGACCUGAGAGGGUAAUCGGCCACAUUGGGACUGAGACACGGCCCAAACUCCUACGGGAGGCAGCAGUAGGGAAUCUUCCACAAUGGACGAAAGUCUGAUGGAGCAACGCCGCGUGAGUGAAGAAGGGUUUCGGCUCGUAAAACUCUGUUGUUAAAGAAGAACAUAUCUGAGAGUAACUGUUCAGGUAUUGACGGUAUUUAACCAGAAAGCCACGGCUAACUACGUGCCAGCAGCCGCGGUAAUACGUAGGUGGCAAGCGUUGUCCGGAUUUAUUGGGCGUAAAGCGAGCGCAGGCGGUUUUUUAAGUCUGAUGUGAAAGCCUUCGGCUCAACCGAAGAAGUGCAUCGGAAACUGGGAAACUUGAGUGCAGAAGAGGACAGUGGAACUCCAUGUGUAGCGGUGAAAAGCGUAGAUAUAUGGAAGAACACCAGUGGCGAAGGCGGCUGUCUGGUCUGUAACUGACGCUGAGGCUCGAAAGUAUGGGUAGCAAACAGGAUUAGAUACCCUGGUAGUCCAUACCGUAAACGAUGAAUGCUAAGUGUUGGAGGGUUUCCGCCCUUCAGUGCUGCAGCUAACGCAUUAAGCAUUCCGCCUGGGGAGUACGGCCGCAAGGCUGAAACUCAAAGGAAUUGACGGGGGCCCGCACAAGCGGUGGAGCAUGUGGUUUAAUUCGAAGCUACGCGAAGAACCUUACCAGGUCUUGACAUACUAUGCAAAUCUAAGAGAUUAGACGUUCCCUUCGGGGACAUGGAUACAGGUGGUGCAUGGUUGUCGUCAGCUCGUGUCGUGAGAUGUUGGGUUAAGUCCCGCAACGAGCGCAACCCUUAUUAUCAGUUGCCAGCAUUAAGUUGGGCACUCUGGUGAGACUGCCGGUGACAAACCGGAGGAAGGUGGGGAUGACGUCAAAUCAUCAUGCCCCUUAUGACCUGGGCUACACACGUGCUACAAUGGAUGGUCAACGAGUUGCGAACUCGCGAGAGUAAGCUAAUCUCUUAAAGCCAUUCUCAGUUCGGAUUGUAGGCUGCAACUCGCCUACAUGAAGUCGGAAUCGCUAGUAAUCGCGGAUCAGCAUGCCGCGGUGAAUACGUUCCCGGGCCUUGUACACACCGCCCGUCACACCAU
Molecule: ribosomal RNA, 1326 nt
Filed under: Lactobacillus sp.
Lineage: Bacteria; Bacillati; Bacillota; Bacilli; Lactobacillales; Lactobacillaceae
Description: bacterial SSU rRNA
Rfam family: Bacterial small subunit ribosomal RNA
Source: RNAcentral